UCUUCCGCAUGGGGGCAACCCUGNCGGACGACGCCGCGUGGAUGAUGAAGGCCGUAAGGUUGUAAAAUCCUUUUGUUGGCGAAGAAUAAGGCGGGGAGUGGAAAGCCCCGCUGAUGACGUUAGCCGACGAAUAAGCCCCGGCCAAUUACGUGCCAGCAGCCGCGGUAAUACGUAUGGGGCAAGCGUUGUUCGGAGUUAUUGGGCGUAAAGGGCGUGUAGGCGGCUCAUCAAGUCUGGUGUGAAAUCGCAGGGCUCAACCCUGCAUAGGCGCUGGAAACUGGUGGGCUUGAGUUCUUGAGGGGAAGCUGGAAUUCCAGGUGUAGGGGUGAAAUCUGUAGAUAUCUGGAAGAACACCGGUGGCGAAGGCGAGCUUCUAUCAGAGGACUGACGCUGAGGCGCGAAAGCGUGGGGAGCAAACAGGAUUAGAUACCNNUGGUAGUCCACGCUGUAAACGAUGUGCACUAGGCGUGGGGCCCGUACGGGUUCUGUGCCGUAGCUAACGUGAUAAGUGCACCGCCUGGGGAGUAUGCUCGCAAGGGUGAAACUCAAAGGAAUUGACGGA
RNAcentral lists this ribosomal RNA (562 nucleotides) under uncultured bacterium. RNAcentral describes it as "bacterial SSU rRNA". It matches the Rfam family "Bacterial small subunit ribosomal RNA", at positions 362 to 917 of the family's 1533-position model. The record is from RNAcentral.